Molecule: small RNA, 927 nt
Filed under: Arabidopsis thaliana (thale cress)
Lineage: Eukaryota; Viridiplantae; Streptophyta; Magnoliopsida; Brassicales; Brassicaceae
Description: ATSL295560
Source: RNAcentral
AGAAAUAAAUUUACAAGAGAUUUUAAAAGAGUUUUAAAAUAUUUACAACGGAUUUUAAAGGGAUUUUAUAAGAUUUAUAAGGGAUUUUAAAUGGGUGAUUUACAAGAGAUUUUAAAAAGUUUUUAAAAGAUUUACAAGGGAUUUUAAAAGGGUUUUAAAAAAUUUACAAGAGAUUUUAAAGGGAUUUAAAAUAUUUACAAAGGUCUUUUAAAGAUUUUUAAAGAGUUUAAAAUUGUUUUAAAAGGAUUUUAAAAUAUUUAUAAGGGAUUUUAAAAGAGUUUUAUAAUAUUUAUAAGGGAUUUUAAAGGGUUUUAAAAGAUUUAUAAAGGGUUUGUAAAGAUUUUUAAAGGGUUUAAAAGUGUUUUGAAAAAUUUACAAGGGAUUUUAAAACCUUUUUAAAUUACUUGUAAAUUUUUUAAAACCCUUUUAAAAUCUCUUGUAAAUCUUUUAAAACUUUUUUAAAAUCUCUUGUAAAUCUUUUAAAACUUUUUUAAAAUCUCUUGUAAAUCUUUUAAAAUCCCUUGUAAAUCUAUUUGUCGCCAAAAAAUAUUUACAAAAUCCCUUGUAAAUCUAUUUGCCAUCAAAAAAUAUUUACAAGGAUUUUUAAAAUCAUUCUUUUGGUUGAGGAAAAAAUUGUUAUGAAAUAAAAAAUUGGCGGGAAAUUUUUUUUUGGCGGGAAAAAAAAUUUUUGGCACCGGCGGGAAAAGUUCAGUUUCCAAUUACAUGUUUCUAUUAGAUGAGGGUAAUUUGGUCAUUUUGUUCAAGAAAAUGAGUAUUUUAAAAAAUGGACAACAUAAAAGGGUAUUGUUGCAAAAGGGUACUAAAAAAAGGUAGUUUUGCAAAUCUCCCUAAAAAAAUCUAUCGACAAAAAACCGAUGCAAAAAAAAUAUGUGAGAUGUCGAUAGAUCAGUUUACAAGAAGAUUUCU